ACAACUAAAUUUGGCAAAGCAACAAUACAUAGUCAUACACAUAAAACAGAUGGUUCCUACUGACAUGGUUUGUAUAUUUACCAGAUUUUCUAUGAUGGUCCCAUACAUU
Molecule: non-coding RNA, 109 nt
Organism: Jaculus jaculus (lesser Egyptian jerboa)
Lineage: Eukaryota; Metazoa; Chordata; Mammalia; Rodentia; Dipodidae
Source: Ensembl